UAGCAAUACGGCAGCGGCAGACGGGAUAGUAACACGUGGGAACGCGCCCUUCGGUUCGGAAUAACUCAGGGAAACUUGAGCUAAUACCGGAUACGCCCUAACGGGGAAAGAUUUAUUGCCGAAGGAACGGCCCGCGUCCGAUUAGCUAGUUGGUGAGGUAAUGGCUCACCAAGGCGACGAUCGGUAGCUGGUCUGAGAGGAUGACCAGCAUCACUGGGACUGAGACACGGCCCAGACUCCUACGGGAGGCAGCAGUGGGGAAUAUUGGACAAUGGGCGCAAGCCUGAUCCAGCCAUGCCGCGUGGAUGAUGAAGGCCCUAGGG
This 323-nucleotide ribosomal RNA is filed under the name uncultured bacterium. RNAcentral describes it as "bacterial SSU rRNA". It matches the Rfam family "Bacterial small subunit ribosomal RNA", at positions 81 to 422 of the family's 1533-position model. The record is from RNAcentral.